This 557-nucleotide ribosomal RNA is filed under the name Escherichia coli. RNAcentral's name for it is "bacterial LSU rRNA". It matches the Rfam family "Bacterial large subunit ribosomal RNA", at positions 1 to 589 of the family's 2925-position model. Lineage: Bacteria; Pseudomonadati; Pseudomonadota; Gammaproteobacteria; Enterobacterales; Enterobacteriaceae. The record is from RNAcentral.
GGGUUGUGAGGUUAAGCGACUAAGCGUACACGGUGGAUGCCCUGGCAGUCAGAGGCGAUGAAGGACGUGCUAAUCUGCGAUAAGCGUCGGUAAGGUGAUAUGAACCGUUAUAACCGGCGAUUUCCGAAUGGGGAAACCCAGUGUGUUUCGACACACUAUCAUUAACUGAAUCCAUAGGUUAAUGAGGCGAACCGGGGGAACUGAAACAUCUAAGUACCCCGAGGAAAAGAAAUCAACCGAGAUUCCCCCAGUAGCGGCGAGCGAACGGGGAGCAGCCCAGAGCCUGAAUCAGUGUGUGUGUUAGUGGAAGCGUCUGGAAAGGCGCGCGAUACAGGGUGACAGCCCCGUACACAAAAAUGCACAUGCUGUGAGCUCGAUGAGUAGGGCGGGACACGUGGUAUCCUGUCUGAAUAUGGGGGGACCAUCCUCCAAGGCUAAAUACUCCUGACUGACCGAUAGUGAACCAGUACCGUGAGGGAAAGGCGAAAAGAACCCCGGCGAGGGGAGUGAAAAGAACCUGAAACCGUGUACGUACAAGCAGUGGGAGCAGUGCUUAG